UAGGGAAUAUUGCACAAUGGGGGGAACCCUGAUGCAGCCAUGCCGCGUGUGUGAAGAAGGCCUUCGGGUUGUAAAGCACUUUCAGAGGGGAGGAGAAUGACGUUACCCUCAGAAGAAGCACCGGCUAACUCCGUGCCAGCAGCCGCGGUAAUACGGAGGGUGCAAGCGUUAAUCGGAAUAACUGGGGCGUAAAGGGCAUGCAGGCGGUUAUAGAAGUAGGAUGUGAAAUCCCGGGGCUCAACCUCGGAACUGCAUUCUAAACUGAAUAACUAGAGUAUUGCAGGGGGAGACGGAAUUCCAGGUGUAGCG
This 309-nucleotide ribosomal RNA is filed under the name uncultured Succinivibrio sp. RNAcentral describes it as "bacterial SSU rRNA". It matches the Rfam family "Bacterial small subunit ribosomal RNA", at positions 355 to 680 of the family's 1533-position model. Lineage: Bacteria; Pseudomonadati; Pseudomonadota; Gammaproteobacteria; Aeromonadales; Succinivibrionaceae. The record is from RNAcentral.